GGUAUUCCUUAUCUGUCUAAUGGUUUGUUUGGAGCCUGUCUUCCUGCAUUCUGCAAAAAAACGCACGAAGACAGGCUCAUCAGUUUAUUCCCUUCGUCUUUCAAGC
RNAcentral lists this small RNA (106 nucleotides) under Serratia fonticola. RNAcentral's name for it is "tp2". It matches the Rfam family "tp2". Lineage: Bacteria; Pseudomonadati; Pseudomonadota; Gammaproteobacteria; Enterobacterales; Yersiniaceae. The record is from RNAcentral.